Non-coding RNA from Clostridiales bacterium 59_14, 67 nucleotides. NCBI's taxonomy places the organism in Bacteria, Bacillati, Bacillota, Clostridia, Eubacteriales. The record is from Rfam.
AGCCGAAACGGCCCGCCGGGGCCGUCCGCCGGGAAUGGCCGCCCGGCGCUGAUGAUGGCAGGCCAAA